UCAAAACUUUAUAUUCAAAUUAAAUGAUAUUAAAUUGCAAAUUUAAAGGUAUUAGAUAUUAAUUAAGGUUU
This 71-nucleotide transfer RNA is filed under the name Aphis spiraecola. RNAcentral describes it as "tRNA-Cys". Lineage: Eukaryota; Metazoa; Arthropoda; Insecta; Hemiptera; Aphididae. The record is from RNAcentral.